This 2897-nucleotide ribosomal RNA is filed under the name Salmonella enterica. RNAcentral describes it as "bacterial LSU rRNA". It matches the Rfam family "Bacterial large subunit ribosomal RNA". The record is from RNAcentral. Lineage: Bacteria; Pseudomonadati; Pseudomonadota; Gammaproteobacteria; Enterobacterales; Enterobacteriaceae.
ACUAAGCGUACACGGUGGAUGCCCUGGCAGUCAGAGGCGAUGAAGGGCGUGCUAAUCUGCGAUAAGCGCCGGUAAGGUGAUAUGAACCGUUAUAACCGGCGAUACCCGAAUGGGGAAACCCAGUGUGACUCGUCACACUAUCAUUAACUGAAUCCAUAGGUUAAUGAGGCGAACCGGGGGAACUGAAACAUCUAAGUACCCCGAGGAAAAGAAAUCAACCGAGAUUCCCCCAGUAGCGGCGAGCGAACGGGGAGGAGCCCAGAGCCUGAAUCAGCAUGUGUGUUAGUGGAAGCGUCUGGAAAGGCGCGCGAUACAGGGUGACAGCCCCGUACACAAAAGCGCAUGUGCUGUGAGCUCGAUGAGUAGGGCGGGACACGUGGUAUCCUGUCUGAAUAUGGGGGGACCAUCCUCCAAGGCUAAAUACUCCUGACUGACCGAUAGUGAACCAGUACCGUGAGGGAAAGGCGAAAAGAACCCCGGCGAGGGGAGUGAAAAAGAACCUGAAACCGUGUACGUACAAGCAGUGGGAGCACAGGUUUACCUGUGUGACUGCGUACCUUUUGUAUAAUGGGUCAGCGACUUAUAUUCUGUAGCAAGGUUAACCGAAUAGGGGAGCCGGAGGGAAACCGAGUCUUAACCGGGCGUUAAGUUGCAGGGUAUAGACCCGAAACCCGGUGAUCUAGCCAUGGGCAGGUUGAAGGUUGGGUAACACUAACUGGAGGACCGAACCGACUAAUGUUGAAAAAUUAGCGGAUGACCUGUGGCUGGGGGUGAAAGGCCAAUCAAACCGGGAGAUAGCUGGUUCUCCCCGAAAGCUAUUUAGGUAGCGCCUCGUGAAUUCAUCUCCGGGGGUAGAGCACUGUUUCGGCUAGGGGGCCAUCCCGGCUUACCAACCCGAUGCAAACUGCGAAUACCGGAGAAUGUUAUCACGGGAGACACACGGCGGGUGCUAACGUCCGUCGUGAAGAGGGAAACAACCCAGACCGCCAGCUAAGGUCCCAAAGUCAUGGUUAAGUGGGAAACGAUGUGGGAAGGCCCAGACAGCCAGGAUGUUGGCUUAGAAGCAGCCAUCAUUUAAAGAAAGCGUAAUAGCUCACUGGUCGAGUCGGCCUGCGCGGAAGAUGUAACGGGGCUAAACCAUGCACCGAAGCUGCGGCAGCGACGCUGAUGCGUUGUUGGGUAGGGGAGCGUUCUGUAAGCCUGCGAAGGUGGCCUGUGAGGGUUGCUGGAGGUAUCAGAAGUGCGAAUGCUGACAUAAGUAACGAUAAAGCGGGUGAAAAGCCCGCUCGCCGGAAGACCAAGGGUUCCUGUCCAACGUUAAUCGGGGCAGGGUGAGUCGACCCCUAAGGCGAGGCCGAAAGGCGUAGUCGAUGGGAAACGGGUUAAUAUUCCCGUACUUGGUGUUACUGCGAAGGGGGGACGGAGAAGGCUAUGUUGGCCGGGCGACGGUUGUCCCGGUUUAAGCGUGUAGGUGUGUGUUCCAGGUAAAUCCGGUUCACUUUAACACUGAGGCGUGACGACGAGGCACUACGGUGCUGAAGCAACAAAUGCCCUGCUUCCAGGAAAAGCCUCUAAGCAUCAGGUAACAUCAAAUCGUACCCCAAACCGACACAGGUGGUCAGGUAGAGAAUACCAAGGCGCUUGAGAGAACUCGGGUGAAGGAACUAGGCAAAAUGGUGCCGUAACUUCGGGAGAAGGCACGCUGACACGUAGGUGAAGUGAUUUACUCAUGGAGCUGAAGUCAGUCGAAGAUACCAGCUGGCUGCAACUGUUUAUUAAAAACACAGCACUGUGCAAACACGAAAGUGGACGUAUACGGUGUGACGCCUGCCCGGUGCCGGAAGGUUAAUUGAUGGGGUCAGCGCAAGCGAAGCUCCUGAUCGAAGCCCCGGUAAACGGCGGCCGUAACUAUAACGGUCCUAAGGUAGCGAAAUUCCUUGUCGGGUAAGUUCCGACCUGCACGAAUGGCGUAAUGAUGGCCAGGCUGUCUCCACCCGAGACUCAGUGAAAUUGAACUCGCUGUGAAGAUGCAGUGUACCCGCGGCAAGACGGAAAGACCCCGUGAACCUUUACUAUAGCUUGACACUGAACAUUGAGCCUUGAUGUGUAGGAUAGGUGGGAGGCUUUGAAGUGUGGACGCCAGUCUGCAUGGAGCCGACCUUGAAAUACCACCCUUUAAUGUUUGAUGUUCUAACGUGGACCCGUUACCCGGGUUGCGGACAGUGUCUGGUGGGUAGUUUGACUGGGGCGGUCUCCUCCUAAAGAGUAACGGAGGAGCACGAAGGUUGGCUAAUCCUGGUCGGACAUCAGGAGGUUAGUGCAAUGGCAUAAGCCAGCCUGACUGCGAGCGUGACGGCGCGAGCAGGUGCGAAAGCAGGUCAUAGUGAUCCGGUGGUUCUGAAUGGAAGGGCCAUCGCUCAACGGAUAAAAGGUACUCCGGGGAUAACAGGCUGAUACCGCCCAAGAGUUCAUAUCGACGGCGGUGUUUGGCACCUCGAUGUCGGCUCAUCACAUCCUGGGGCUGAAGUAGGUCCCAAGGGUAUGGCUGUUCGCCAUUUAAAGUGGUACGCGAGCUGGGUUUAGAACGUCGUGAGACAGUUCGGUCCCUAUCUGCCGUGGGCGCUGGAGAACUGAGGGGGGCUGCUCCUAGUACGAGAGGACCGGAGUGGACGCAUCACUGGUGUUCGGGUUGUCAUGCCAAUGGCACUGCCCGGUAGCUAAAUGCGGAAGAGAUAAGUGCUGAAAGCAUCUAAGCACGAAACUUGCCCCGAGAUGAGUUCUCCCUGAGACUUAGAGUCUCCUGAAGGAACGUUGAAGACGACGACGUUGAUAGGCCGGGUGUGUAAGCGCAGCGAUGCGUUGAGCUAACCGGUACUAAUGAACCGUGAGGCUUAACC